UUAGCUAAUCAGUUAUAGGCACCAUUAGACCUGCAGUAGGAGUGUGCAUGUCUGUGUGUCAUGCCACCAAUAAAAUCUAUGCCCAAAUGUCUGAGCCAAUCAGAGAAUAGAAAUGGAUUGGGGUGGCCAAGGCUAGAAGGUAUUAAGAAUUUACAUGAAGUGGAGUGACUGUCAUGUAAGGGUGAAACUGUAUAAAAGCAGAGUACUGAGAAUGGAGAGAUCAGUUCUUACAUGGAAUUGCUCGGCUUUGUUACUUUUGUAAUGAAGUCUAUUUGAAUUCACAAGCUCCGGUAUCUGAGAAACAUUUGUUUCAAUAUUUCUACGACAGACACCUACUCAUUCAAAGGUUUUUCUUUAUUUUUUACCAUUUUCUACAUUGUAGAAUAAUAGUGAAGACAUCAACACUAUGAAAUAACCCAAAUGGAAUCAUGUAGUAACCAAAAAAAGUGUUAAACAAAUCAAAAUAUAUUUAAUAUUUGAGAUUCUUCAAAGUAGCCACCCUUUGCCUUUAUGACAGCUUUGCACUCUCUUGACAUUCUCUCAACCAGCUUCAUGAGGUAGUCUGGAAUGCAUUUCAAUUAACAGGUGUGCCUUGUUAAAAUUUCUGGAAUUUCUUUCCUUACUUAAUUUGAGCCAGUCAGCUGUGUUGUGACAAGGUAGGGGUGGUAUACCGGAGAUAGUCCUAUUUGGUAAAAGACCAAGUAAGACCAAAUAGCUCAUAUAGGCAAAGAGAAAUGACAGUCCAUCAUUACUUUAAGACAUAAAAGUCAGUCAAUCAUGAACAUUUCAAGAACUUUGAACGUUUUUUUAAGUGCAGUCGCAAUAACCAAGUGCUAUGAUGAAACUGGCUCUCAUGAGGACUGCCAUAGGAAAGGAUGACCGAGAGUUACCUCUGAUAUAGAGGAUAAGUCCAUUAGAGUUACCAGCCUCAGAAAUUGCAGCCCAAAUAAAUGCUUCCCAGAGAUCAAGUAACAGACACAUCUCAACAUCAACUGUUCAGAGGAGACUGCGUGAAUCAGGCCUUCAUGGUCAAAUUGCUGCAAAGAAACCACUACAAAGGACACCAAUAAUAAGAAGAGACUUGGCCAAGAAACACGAGCAAUGGACAUUAGACCGGUGGAAAUCUGUCCUUUGGUCUGAUGAGUCCAAAUGUGAAUUGUUUGUCUUUGUGAGACGCAGAGUGGGUGAACGGAUGAUCUCUUCAUGUGUGGUUCCCACCGUGUAGCAUGGAGGAGGUGUGAUGGUGUAGGGGUGCUUUGCUGGUGACACUGUCAGUGAUUUAUUUAGAAAUCAAAGCACACUUAACCAGAAUGGCUACCACUCUCUUCCCCUGAUCUGUUUCACCUGUCCUUGUGCUUGUCUCCACCCCCCUCCAGGUGUCACCCAUCUUCUCAAUUAUCCCCUGUGUAUUUAUACUUGUGUUCUCUGUCUGUUUGUUGCCAGUUCGUCUUGUUCGUUCAAGCUUACCAGCGUUUUCCUGUUAGCUCCUAUCUGUUCCCAGCCUCUCUUUGCUAGUCUUCCCAGUUUUGACCUCUGCCUGUCCUGACCCUGUACCCGCCCUCUCUGCCUGACCCUGAGCCUGCCUGCUGUCCUGUACCUUUGCUCCACCUCUGGAUUACUGAACCCUGUCUGUCCCUAACCCUGAGUCCGCCUGCCGUCCUGUACCAUUGCCUUACCCUGGAUUACUGAACCCUGUCUGUCCCUAACCCUGAGUCCGCCUGCCGUCCUGUACCAUUGCCUUACCCUGGAUUACUGAACCCUGUCUGUCCCUAACCCUGAGUCCGCCUGCCGUCCUGUACCAUUGCCUUACCCUGGAUUACUGAACCCUGUCUGUCCCUAACCCUGAGUCCGCCUGCCGUCCUGUACCAUUGCCUUACCCUGGAUUACUGAACCCUGUCUGUCCCUAACCCUGAGUCCGCCUGCCGUCCUGUACCAUUGCCUUACCCUGGAUUACUGAACCCUGUCUGUCCCUAACCCUGAGUCCGCCUGCCGUCCUGUACCAUUGCCUUACCCUGGAUUACUGAACCCUGUCUGUCCCUAACCCUGAGUCCGCCUGCCGUCCUGUACUAUUGCCUUACCCUGGAUUUUCAACCACUGCCUGCUUUGGCAUGUCUUUGCCUGCCGCUGUUGCUACAAUAAACAGUGUUACUUUGACAGUCUGCAUCUGGGUCUUACCUUGAUUCCUGAUAACCACAGCAUUCUACAGCGAUACGCCACCCAAUGUGGUUUGCGCUUAGUGGGACUAUCUUAUGUUUUUCAACAGGACAACCUCAAUCCAAUUGAGACGGUUUGGGAUGAGUUGGACCUCAGAGUGAAGCAAAAGCAGCCAACAAGUGCUCAGCAUCUGUGGGAACUCUUCAAGACUGUUCAAGCAUUCCAGGUGAAGCUGGUUGCGAGAAUGCCAAGAGUGUGCAAUGCUGUCAUCAAGGUUCUCCCACUGCCGCCGUUUUCUGGGUAAUCUUCAAAGUUUCUGGUGGUAGCAAAACACAGCCAGUCAUGUGGACGAUUGGAGGACUUCCAACAGACUGACUGGUCUUCCAGCAUGGCGCCUGGUCUGGUUGCUACAGUAGGUGAUCUGUGAAGAAACUACAAGCCCUCUAUAGUGUCACAACCUGUUUAUACUUAUCUGUACACAAUUUCAUUGGUUGAUUGGUUUGACUUAUCUAUCUACACCUGGGGCCGGUUCAGGAGAAUGGAAAUUCCCAGAUUUUUCGGAAAGAAACAUUGUGUAGAUCAAACAUGAUCUACUUUCAGAUAGAUUGAUAUAUUAUGGGACAUUGUGUGUGUGCUCCAUUAGUUGAAGGUAGCAAAUCCAAAAGUUUCUGAAGAGUAGUCACUUCCUUAGAUCUGUGUUCAAAUCUUUUUUUAAAGUAGUUGCUUUCUCAGAUCUGUAUUCAAAUAGUUGUAGUCACCUCCAAUGUAACUAUCUGUUCCGCUAAAAAAAAAAUUACUUUCCACAAAGCGUAUUUUAAACUAUAGUUGUCAAAUGUGUCGUGCCUACUGUCCACAAAAUGGACAACUGAGCUGCACUUUCUAACCUCCUGCCAAAUGUAUGACCACAUUAGAGACACAUAUUUCCCACAGAUGAGAGAGACAGAGAGAAUGAGCCAAAUGCUUUGUCGGUCAUUACAGAGUGAAAACACACCAACCUUCAGGCCACGAGAACCCUUUGGAAACUAGCUAUGACUGUAAACACAACGCUACACCUCUGUGUGUGUGGCUAGCUCUCUCACCUCUCUCCAAAGACCAAUUAGUACCCACCCCCCUCUCCCUUUACUUUCUCUCUCUUAUCUUCAACUCCUGUCCCCUUCUCUCCCCCUUUCCCCUCUUUUUCUCUCCUCGUCAUUCGCACUUUGCAUUCUGUUCUCGCUCUCAAUUUUCACAAGAAAUUUGAACCCUCUGGGGUUUCCCAGCAUCCUUUACACUUUCUCAGAAUCUCUUUUUUUGGCGGGGGGGGGGGGCAGCGUCGUCCGGGUUUGGCCGGUGUAGGCAGUCAUUGUAAAUAAGAAUUUGUUCUUAACUGACUUGCCUUGUUAAAUAAAGGUUAAAUAAAAAUAAAUCAACAAAUACAUAUUUUAAAUAUAACCCCUUCUCAAUUCACAGAAUGUUAGGGACUUUCCUCCUGUCAUCGCCACCUCGGUUACUCUGUCACCUUCUCUUUUCCCUCCAAAAUGUUCUCUCUAGCUCUCUGUUCUUCACACCGUCUCUUCCUCCGUUCAUCUGUCGUUUACCCGCUUACUCUCUGUGAAUUAGAAAAUGGUGUUCCUUACCAAGGCCCCCACCAGUAUGCAUACAUAUGCACACUGACACAAACACACACUAACACACACACACACACACACACUAACACACAAUCACUCGCUCACUCAUCAUAGCCAUCUAAUUAAACAGGCUCCUCUUCAUAUCAUCAAGGCAAGGUGCUAAUACAGGUCUGUAUUUCAAUACGAUAAACACAUUUUGAUCUUAAUGUCUUACACAAAUGACUUAUGUCAUCACAUCAUCUGUGGGAUAUAGUCGACUAAGCUUGGCACGUUUUUCAUAUUUUUUCUCUUUUACAGACACACACAUGCGCACACACACACACACACACACACACACACGUCAAAUCUGUCAUACACUCUCUCCCCUGAUCCCUCUCAGUAAUUUGCUCAUUAUCAGGCUGGUGGUGAGAUGUAAGCUGGAUGUAAUGUCUGUAAUGGUUACAUGGUGUUUGACAGAUAAGGCUCCGGGCUCACUGUCAGGACUGUCAGAAUCAGUCCAAUCUGACAACCAGUUGGGAAAAGGUUGAUUCCUGAAAACACUUGCACAGACACGAAUACACUUACAUACACACACACGCAUAACCACACGCACACAGGGACACGUCCACUUCUAUCUACACAAACAGGAUUGCUCACACACAAGCACAACACACUUAUACCCAGGCACAAUAAUGGAGAAAUGGUUCCAGUUCACAUCUAGUUGUUUCACAGUUACUGGCGUCUCUCUCAUGUCUCUUUCUCUCCUCCCCCUCACUCCUUUUAACACAACCAGACAUGGUGGGGAUGGUAAUAACCACGACACCUUCCCCUGGCAGAGCUCUGUCAUUCUCAUACUCCUCCGACAAGGGCUUCGUUACGCUGGCCCGCCGCUCGCUGGGAAGUAGGUUGUUGCCAUGGUGACAGAGCGCUUGACGGAUAGGUCUGUGUGUGCGCACUGGCCCUCAGUGAGGAAUGUCUCCAUCGGUUGCUACAGCUCCACCAGCGAGACGCUAAGCAAUUAGCAGCUCUGUCACGCCACACGAAACACACACACACACACACACACACCCAAACACCUAUUCACACACACACAUAUAUGUCAAUAGUCAAGACAUACAUACACACGUACGCACAAACGCCUAGACUCAAUACAAACACUUGACUUAUACAACAACAACAAUGCACAUCCUGUACAAACAGAAGCUGUCACACACCUCACAGACCGCAUAUUACACAGCCACACACACUCUGUUUUUCUCAGCAUAUCAGAUUAUUUUUCAUCUGCUGUACAACAGCACACACACACACACACACACGUCCAAACAAACAAACCAACAGCCAGGCCCUCUCAGAUCUAUAUAUAACACACCGUGUUCGCUCUGCUGUUGUGACACAGUUGUCAUGGCUCUGCAGCCCUAAUCUGAUGUGCAGGAAGUCUUUGUGUGAAGUCAAGCAUUCUGAUUUACAACACAAUAGUUCCAUCACUAGUCCACAAUCAAAACAAGAGAGUUGAGAUUAUUCAAAUCGGCUAUAUAUUUUUCAAGAAUAUGUUACAGGAAACUUUGAUUAUUUGGCACUACUUGUUCUAUUGCUGAGGUAUUAUCUAGGCAGAUCUGGUCUCUUUCAUCCCCAGAACUCCUACUGUAGCCACUACGCAGAGCAGAGCAGAAGUUACUCUCGUAGCAACAUGUCAAAGAGAUUAUAACACAGUCAGUUAAUGCAAACAGCCUCGGUAAGAACAUUAGCACUUUACAGGGGGGUGGGUCCAUCAUAAAGGAAACAUGAUGCUGUCGAAUGAAUCAUAUAGCAUCGCUCAUACAGAACUUCUAACAACAAAAUCCUUUUAUGACAAAGUUCAAAGUUAGACCCAAGUUGUUUUCUGUGUUAUUUGCCAUAACACUGCAGUGCACUUUCACUAGUUGUGACAGGUGAUGUUAGUCUCAUGGUAGCCUUUUCUGACUUCAAAUAAAGUUUAUGACAAUUUUCAUAUCCCUCUCUUUUAUCGCUCUCUCCCAUCCUGCACUCCUAGUCCUUCCUAAUAUUUCCCUCUUAUUGUUCUCAUCCCUUUAUAUUUCAGUCGUUCUUUUGAAGGACACAUCAGAGUGUUUGGCAGUGGACUAAUGCAAACCCUUCCUUAGAGGAUUAGUGUGUGUUGAGCGCAUUAAGACCUGAUUUCUCGCUCUCCUUUUUUCCACUCAUCCCUCCCUCUUUAUCUUCUUUCUUGCCUCAAACAUAAAUACCCAGUUGUCAGGAGACUGCUGCCCUCUUACAUCUCGUUUGACCGUACAUCCUUCAUUUAAUGCAGAUAUUUAAAGAUCAACCGUGCAGAAAUCGCCACUUCCUGGUUGGUACAAUUCUAAUAUGUCACGCCCUGACCUUAGAGAGCCUUUUAAUAUCUCUAUUUGGUUUGGUCAUGGUGUGAUUUGGGGUGGGCAUUCUAUGUUUUGUUAUCUAUGAUUUGUAUUUCUAUGUUUUGGCCGGGUAGGGUUCUCAAUCAGGGACAGCUGUCUAUCGUUGUCUCUGAUUGAGAACCAUACUUAGGUAGCCCUUUCCCACCUGUCUUUGUGGGAAGUAACUUUGUUUAUGGCACUUAACCUUCACGGUUGUUUGGUAUUGUUUUGUCGGCGCCAUCACCUAAUAAAAGGGAAUAUGUACGCUGA
This is a long non-coding RNA of Oncorhynchus nerka (sockeye salmon), 6400 nucleotides long. RefSeq lists it as uncharacterized. The record is from RefSeq and is a predicted model, not a curated record. NCBI's taxonomy places the organism in Eukaryota, Metazoa, Chordata, Actinopteri, Salmoniformes, Salmonidae. The transcript is spliced from 2 exons.